AUCCAGCUGACCAGUCCUAAAUAGGAUGAGACGCGUGUUCUGAAU
This 45-nucleotide non-coding RNA is filed under the name Schistosoma mattheei. Lineage: Eukaryota; Metazoa; Platyhelminthes; Trematoda; Strigeidida; Schistosomatidae. The record is from RNAcentral.